CAGAUGGCAGUUCCAGUUGCUUACAUUGCAGCACUCUGUUUAAGAGUCUAGACUUCUAAAGUUUAUACAACCAAUUAAGGCUGAUUUUUAGAAUCUUUAAACAGCAACAGCCAGAAAACAUCAGUAUGACUACUCCAAGAUGAUUAAGAAAUCUGUGCAUCAAUUGGAAAGGUAAAUCUCCUUGUCAGUUGACAGUCAUCAGGCCAACAGAAGCCGCAUAUUCUUUAUUAUUCCAAGGUCUGAUAGUUAAGGAAUGCUUCACUCUUAGUGGAAAUGCAGAUCUGAAAACACACUGCUAAAGUAUCUGUCUUUUCCUAUUGGGUGGAUGACUUCUCUCCAAGUUUGGGGAACAUUUGACAACCAUUCAAAACCACAGGGCUUUAACAGAGAAUAAAAAUAAUCCUCUUACCUGAGGUGGGAUCAGUUUACUUUUUUUCCUUCUUCCAGAGUUAUUGAGGCAAGUUUCGCUAAGCAUAAAUGUCUGAUGAUAAGUACCUUUUAAUAGUGUCAUUAUGUGGUCAACUUUGCUCAAAUUUAGGAAAAUUUGACAUUUACAGAGCUAAUAGCCCUUUCAAUGUGCAUUGAUACUUCUAUUAAAUUUAACGACUUUAAAUCAGUGAUGGAAGGAAGAACGUUACAAUCUUUGGAAAAAGGGCUACAAAUACUUGCAACUACUUCUUUUUGAUAGUCCCUUCUCAGAACUGUUGCAUGCAAUGAAAGGCAUCGGCCUUAUAAGGGAGCUUUAUGGCCAUGCAAAUAAUUGGAGAUAGCACCCUCCAAUAAAAACAUCUGGCAUUCCCUCCUCCAAUCCACCUUCCAAACACCAAGCUUUCCCUUGUGGAUGGAACUUAUGCCAAAUUAAAAAAAUUCAAUUGA
Molecule: long non-coding RNA, 876 nt
Organism: Panthera uncia (snow leopard)
Lineage: Eukaryota; Metazoa; Chordata; Mammalia; Carnivora; Felidae
Exons: 2
Source: RefSeq, a predicted model, not a curated record